CAAACCUCCAGCAGCGAGUCCGACCGCACUGGGUUCAGUUCCUCUCACACCCACGUGGUGGUAAAACAGAUCCCUGUUCUCACUACAGGAAACAACCGCUCAGCGUGGCGCUUUACCACACAUUAAAGGGGCACUAUGUUGUUUUUGUUCUCAAAGAGCGUUCAUGACGUGCAAUGUGGCAGCAGCGACGUGCAAUGCGGCGCUUCAGAUAAAAAUCACAGAUGAUGUGCCUUGCCUGCAGGAAGUAGGACUGGGCUCAACAGGUUUUUUUCGAAGGGACAAUAAAGCAAAUGAAAGCCCAAGUGGAGGUCUUCUGGAUAGAAGGAGGCAGCCAUGGACUGACUGUGAAAGGAAGGUCUGAGGAGUCGGUGCUGGAUGAUGUGAACAUACAGGUCAUCACCUGGAUGAACAAGCAAGGAGCAUAGAUUAGCAUAUGUUGCAAGAUUGUAUUUUAUUUGUUUUGUUGUACUUGUUUAAUAAAUGAUUUUUUUUUUACUUUUUUCACAAAAUAUGGUUAAAGAGUUGUGUCAUCUUUUAAUCAAAAGUUUGUUGACACCUUCAUCAUUAAACCUGUGUUGCUGAUCACCUCACAGAGGAACUCUUCACCUGUGCAAAACUGAUCUGACAUAAAAUGAUACUGCAGUGCUGAACACUGACUCAGAAGCAGUGAAACGAUGAGCUCUUCAGCACGGGGAAACAAGUAUGAAGAUAUAUUUGUUUUAAUAAACAUACAUUUCAUAGCACUCAGUCUUAAACAGUGGUGCUAUGAUCUUGACUUGAAAAAAGUCCUGUACAAUGUAUAUUUUCUGUAGGAAUUAUUUUGGAAAGAAUCAUCUACGUGAAUUUUCUGUGCAGAUAUUCUUCUGUUUUAUUUUUCUUGAUUUCUAUAGCAGUAGCCAUGGAAAGUAAUGACCUAUACUAAUUUAGUAUGGUCACCUACCAGCAAAAAGUACCUCAAAGUCAUACUUCACUUUACUAAAAAAUUAAAGGUACUUUGAAAAAAUAUAACUUUAGUAAAAGUGAAACUCACCCAUAAGAAUAGUGCUUAGGUACUUUGUGUCUAAAGUACAUCAUGACAUUGACCUUUGAAUGUUAAAGGGAUAUUCCGGCAUAAAUUUAAUCCAUGGUCUAACACACCGUGUCACUGAGUAAGACCACCCCCCAAGAGAUCAAGUUUACCGACCUCUAGCUUGUCGUUUUAGCAACCUCAGAAAACACCGCACGAUAACAAUGCAUUGCAGUAUACGCCUCCAAGAUGAAACCACCAUCAAAAAGCCUCUCAUAACCACAAAUAAUGUUCAGAAUAGCACCAAACUUCAGCAUCAAUACAAAUAGAGUCCCAGCACAUCUGCUAGCUUUGCAGAUAGCUUUACUACUCAUCACUCUCCUGCAGCAGCUUGCUCGUUGUGGGGAAGCCCUGACGAGUCCAUUACCAAGUGAGUUAGAAAUGGUCAAUUCUGUUGUUUUCCCCAUCAGCUCUCAAUAAUAACUGUCACAUACUGACACAUAUGCACUUUGAUUGCAUUUCCAUGGAGUAAUAAUCAUACAUUUUCAUCCCUGGGCUGCGGAACUCUACUGCACUCGGUAAUCGACUCGUUGGGCUUCCCCA
Acanthopagrus latus (yellowfin seabream) is the source of this 1609-nucleotide long non-coding RNA. RefSeq lists it as uncharacterized. The transcript has 3 exons. Lineage: Eukaryota; Metazoa; Chordata; Actinopteri; Spariformes; Sparidae. The record is from RefSeq and is a predicted model, not a curated record.